AACAAGUUCCAGGAAGACCUGAGAAGACUAAAAAAAUGUUUAAUGUUGGUUUAACAGACAGGACAGGAGCAUUCUAAAGGCACAGUUUGACUGCCUUUGCACGGUGCACAAAAUGCAGCAUUUCCUGUCCAGGAAAACAGUUGAGAGGAGACAAACAGCUUCAGCAAAAAGUGAAGAUUACCAACUUCAUAAAGCUGAAGAUGUGUGGGAGUCAACUGCAGAGUGGAUUUGUAACAGACUCCUGGUGUCUUCAUUGGCAGGCCCAGCAUGGUGGAUCUCCAAGAUGAAAAGUCUGACAGCCUGAGACAGUCUGCUCUGCGUCUUCAGUAGGUGGGCACACUGCCCAGUGCUCAGUAAGCG
Perca flavescens (yellow perch) is the source of this 360-nucleotide long non-coding RNA. RefSeq lists it as uncharacterized. Lineage: Eukaryota; Metazoa; Chordata; Actinopteri; Perciformes; Percidae. The transcript is spliced from 3 exons. The record is from RefSeq and is a predicted model, not a curated record.